ACGAUCCCCUGUAGAGGAAGGACUGCACUCCCACUCCAGCCUCCGGAGCCGGAAGUGGGACAGGUUCGCGUCCUACUGUCAGAGACGUCGCGCGCUCUGGCUGCGGCUUCCGUGCCUCCUAGCCUCCUCGCGCAGGCUGCGGUUGGUGGGGGAGGGGAUGGAAUGGGCUCGCUGUUCCCUCACUGAGACCGGAGCGUGUCUCCCCACCCUCCCGUGCUACGUGAAGCCGGGAGCCGGCUUUGCGGACAGGCUCGUGCCGAGUCUAGGGACGUUGUGGCGGGAGCAGCUGUGACGUGUUUGUACCCCACCCUCUCCGCUGACGCGCCCGUGUUCUGAGGCUUAGACUGCGAGGGGGUGUCACGUGCCCGGCUCCGAACGUGCCCCCGCGCCCGCGUGUGGGGGGCGGCGGCGGCCCUGCGUUAGCUCUGCGCAGCUACCAGUAUGGGGCGGAGCCGGGGGUGAUGUGUGAGAUACUUCUACGCACCUGUGUGGAGUAUACACUCCCAUUUCUCAACUUGCUGUUGCUGCAUCCAGCCUCCUCCAGAGAUGUCCCUUAGCUCCUUGCCUACAUGCUGUGGUUUUCCCCAAAGAGUUUACUCACAAGGAUCCUCAUGAUAAAUAGCCAAUACGACAGUGGCCUGGAAACUGCUAAUGAAGAUCCUAAUUACCUCCUCAAGCUGCAACCUAGCAGCCAGGUAAAGACAGCUGCUGUAAAAGACUACACAGCUCAGGCAGAAGGUGGAAAAGCUUCUAGGAGGAGCCCUAGUAGAUCAUGAGAAGAAAAGUAGGAAGCAGUGAGAAAGGAAAAGACCAAUCAUUUGCUGUUUAACACAGGCACCUUGGCCUGAAACCUAGAGAAGACGUAUCAGCCUCAGUUUCCCAACUUUCCCUUCAGAAAGGGAAAGAUAACCCUGAGAAAGUGAUGAAAGACUUGUGAGCCCAGGCUGUGAAGAGGACCAAUUUGGACUUCUGAGGUAGGGGCAAGGAGUCAGAAGUUUCUGUUACCUUAAAAGUGUUGAACCCCUAAAUCAAUGGUUCUCAACCUUUUAGACUGAAGAUGCCCCCUCAGGAAAAGCCAGCCCCUAGGUUUCACUUAGUUUUGACUAUGGAAAAAAUAGCGCUUCUUCAGAGACCACAAAAGGUCAGGAUAUGUGUUUUUGAUGCUAUGAAUUCCUAUGUAAAAUCUCCGGGUUUA
This is a long non-coding RNA of Alligator mississippiensis (American alligator), 1195 nucleotides long. RefSeq lists it as uncharacterized. Lineage: Eukaryota; Metazoa; Chordata; Crocodylia; Alligatoridae. The transcript is spliced from 2 exons. The record is from RefSeq and is a predicted model, not a curated record.